This 490-nucleotide ribosomal RNA is filed under the name uncultured bacterium. RNAcentral's name for it is "partial 16S ribosomal RNA". It matches the Rfam family "Bacterial small subunit ribosomal RNA", at positions 30 to 507 of the family's 1533-position model. The record is from RNAcentral.
AUUGAACGCUGGCGGCAGGCCUAACACAUGCAAGCCGAACGGUAACAGGAAGAAGCUUGCUUCUUUGCUGACGAGUGGCGGACGGGUGAGUAAUGUCUGGGAAACUGCCUGAUGGAGGGGGAUAACUACUGGAAACGGUAGCUAAUACCGCAUAACGUCGCACGACCAAAGAGGGGGACCUUCGGGCCUCUUGCCAUCGGAUGUGCCCAGAUGGGAUUAGCUUGUUGGUGGGGUAACGGCUCACCAAGGCGACGAUCCCUAGCUGGUCUGAGAGGAUGACCAGCCACACUGGAACUGAGACACGGUCCAGACUCCUACGGGAGGCAGCAGUGGGGAAUAUUGCACAAUGGGCGCAAGCCUGAUGCAGCCAUGCCGCGUGUAUGAAGAAGGCCUUCGGGUUGUAAAGUACUUUCAGCGGGGAGGAAGGGAGUAAAGUUAAUACCUUUGCUCAUUGACGUUACCCGCAGAAGAAGCACCGGCUAACUCCGUG